AUUGAACGCUGGCGGCGUGCUUAACACAUGCAAGUCGAACGGUAAGGCCCUUCGGGGUACACGAGUGGCGAACGGGUGAGUAACACGUGGGUGAUCUGCCCUGCACUUCGGGAUAAGCCUGGGAAACUGGGUCUAAUACCGGAUAGGACCACUGCCUGCAUGGGUGGUGGUGGAAAGCUUUUGCGGUGUGGGAUGGGCCCGCGGCCUAUCAGCUUGUUGGUGGGGUGAUGGCCCACCAAGGCGACGACGGGUAGCCGGCCUGAGAGGGUGACCGGCCACACUGGGACUGAGAUACGGCCCAGACUCCUACGGGAGGCAGCAGUGGGGAAUAUUGCACAAUGGGCGCAAGCCUGAUGCAGCGACGCCGCGUGAGGGAUGACGGCCUUCGGGUUGUAAACCUCUUUCAGCACCGACGAAGCGCAAGUGACGGUAGGUGCAGAAGAAGGACCGGCCAACUACGUGCCAGCCGCCGCCGUAA
This 478-nucleotide ribosomal RNA is filed under the name uncultured bacterium. Its description in RNAcentral is "partial 16S ribosomal RNA". It matches the Rfam family "Bacterial small subunit ribosomal RNA", at positions 28 to 523 of the family's 1533-position model. The record is from RNAcentral.